GUUAAGCGACUAAGCGUACACGGUGGAUGCCCUGGCAGUCAGAGGCGAUGAAGGACGUGCUAAUCUGCGAUAAGCGUCGGUAAGGUGAUAUGAACCGUUAUAACCGGCGAUUUCCGAAUGGGGAAACCCAGUGUGUUUCGACACACUAUCAUUAACUGAAUCCAUAGGUUAAUGAGGCGAACCGGGGGAACUGAAACAUCUAAGUACCCCGAGGAAAAGAAAUCAACCGAGAUUCCCCCAGUAGCGGCGAGCGAACGGGGAGCAGCCCAGAGCCUGAAUCAGUGUGUGUGUUAGUGGAAGCGUCUGGAAAGGCGCGCGAUACAGGGUGACAGCCCCGUACACAAAAAUGCACAUGCUGUGAGCUCGAUGAGUAGGGCGGGACACGUGGUAUCCUGUCUGAAUAUGGGGGGACCAUCCUCCAAGGCUAAAUACUCCUGACUGACCGAUAGUGAACCAGUACCGUGAGGGAAAGGCGAAAAGAACCCCGGCGAGGGGAGUGAAAAAGAACCUGAAACCGUGUACGUACAAGCAGUGGGAGCACGCUUAGGCGUGUGACUGCGUACCUUUUGUAUAAUGGGUCAGCGACUUAUAUUCUGUAGCAAGGUUAACCGAAUAGGGGAGCCGAAGGGAAACCGAGUCUUAACUGGGCGUUAAGUUGCAGGGUAUAGACCCGAAACCCGGUGAUCUAGCCAUGGGCAGGUUGAAGGUUGGGUAACACUAACUGGAGGACCGAACCGACUAAUGUUGAAAAAUUAGCGGAUGACUUGUGGCUGGGGGUGAAAGGCCAAUCAAACCGGGAGAUAGCUGGUUCUCCCCGAAAGCUAUUUAGGUAGCGCCUCGUGAAUUCAUCUCCGGGGGUAGAGCACUGUUUCGGCAAGGGGGUCAUCCCGACUUACCAACCCGAUGCAAACUGCGAAUACCGGAGAAUGUUAUCACGGGAGACACACGGCGGGUGCUAACGUCCGUCGUGAAGAGGGAAACAACCCAGACCGCCAGCUAAGGUCCCAAAGUCAUGGUUAAGUGGGAAACGAUGUGGGAAGGCCCAGACAGCCAGGAUGUUGGCUUAGAAGCAGCCAUCAUUUAAAGAAAGCGUAAUAGCUCACUGGUCGAGUCGGCCUGCGCGGAAGAUGUAACGGGGCUAAACCAUGCACCGAAGCUGCGGCAGCGACGCUUAUGCGUUGUUGGGUAGGGGAGCGUUCUGUAAGCCUGUGAAGGUGUGCUGUGAGGCAUGCUGGAGGUAUCAGAAGUGCGAAUGCUGACAUAAGUAACGAUAAAGCGGGUGAAAAGCCCGCUCGCCGGAAGACCAAGGGUUCCUGUCCAACGUUAAUCGGGGCAGGGUGAGUCGACCCCUAAGGCGAGGCCGAAAGGCGUAGUCGAUGGGAAACAGGUUAAUAUUCCUGUACUUGGUGUUACUGCGAAGGGGGGACGGAGAAGGCUAUGUUGGCCGGGCGACGGUUGUCCCGGUUUAAGCGUGUAGGCUGGUUUUCCAGGCAAAUCCGGAAAAUCAAGGCUGAGGCGUGAUGACGAGGCACUACGGUGCUGAAGCAACAAAUGCCCUGCUUCCAGGAAAAGCCUCUAAGCAUCAGGUAACAUCAAAUCGUACCCCAAACCGACACAGGUGGUCAGGUAGAGAAUACCAAGGCGCUUGAGAGAACUCGGGUGAAGGAACUAGGCAAAAUGGUGCCGUAACUUCGGGAGAAGGCACGC
Molecule: ribosomal RNA, 1707 nt
Filed under: Escherichia coli
Lineage: Bacteria; Pseudomonadati; Pseudomonadota; Gammaproteobacteria; Enterobacterales; Enterobacteriaceae
Description: partial 23S ribosomal RNA
Rfam family: Bacterial large subunit ribosomal RNA
Source: RNAcentral